Molecule: ribosomal RNA, 486 nt
Filed under: uncultured bacterium
Lineage: Bacteria
Description: partial 16S ribosomal RNA
Rfam family: Bacterial small subunit ribosomal RNA
Source: RNAcentral
GAUGAACGCUGGCGGCGUGCCUAAUACAUGCAAGUCGAACGCUGGAAAUCUAGCUUGCUAGAUUGAAGGAGUGGCGAACGGGUGAGUAAUACAUAAGCAACCUACCCACGAAGACUGGGAUAAUCUCUGGAAACGGGGACUAAUACCGGAUAGGUAAUCGGAAGGCAUCUUCUGAUUAUUAAAGGUUAAAAACACUGGUGGAUGGGCUUAUGGCGCAUUAGUUAGUUGGGGAGGUAACGGCCCACCAAGACGAUGAUGCGUAGCCGGCCUGAGAGGGUGAACGGCCACAUUGGGACUGAGACACGGCCCAGACUCCUACGGGAGGCAGCAGUAGGGAAGUGUCGGCAAUGGGGGAAACCCUGACCGAGCAACGCCGCGUGAGUGAUGACGGCCUUCGGGGUGUAAAGCUCUGUUGUAAGGGAAGAACGGUAGAUAGAGAAUAUCUAAAUGACGGUACCUUACCAGAAAGCCACGGCUAACUACGUG